RNAcentral lists this ribosomal RNA (588 nucleotides) under uncultured bacterium. RNAcentral describes it as "partial 16S ribosomal RNA". It matches the Rfam family "Bacterial small subunit ribosomal RNA", at positions 355 to 1375 of the family's 1533-position model. The record is from RNAcentral.
UGGGGAAUUUUGGACAAUGGGCGAAAGCCUGAUCCAGCAAUGCCGCGUGUGUGAAGAAGGCCUUCGGGUUGUAAAGCACUUUUGUCCGGAAAGAAAUCCUUGGCUCUAAUACAGUCGGGGGAUGACGGUACCGGAAGAAUAAGCACCGGCUAACUACGUGCCAGCAGCCGCGGUAAUACGUAGGGUGCAAGCGUUAAUCGGAAUUACUGGGCGUAAAGCGUGCGCAGGCGGUUUGCUAAGACCGAUGUGAAAUCCCCGGGCUCAACCUGGGAACUGCAUUGGUGACUGGCAGGCUAGAGUAUGGCAGAGGGGGGUAGAAUUCCACGUGUAGCAGUGAAAUGCGUAGAGAUGUGGAGGAAUACCGAUGGCGAAGGCAGCCCCCUGGGCCAAUACUGACGCUCAUGCACGAAAAGCGUGGGGGAGCAAACAGGAUUAGAUACCCUGGUAGUCCACGCCCUAAAACGAUGUCAACUAGUUGUUGGGGAUUCAUUUCCUUAGUAACGUAGCUAACGCGUGAAGUUGACCGCCUGGGGAGUACGGUCGCAAGAUUAAAACUCAAAUGAAUUGACGGGGUCAUAGCUGUUUCCU